RNAcentral lists this long non-coding RNA (348 nucleotides) under Lathyrus oleraceus (garden pea). RNAcentral's name for it is "Pisum sativum (pea) long non-coding RNA (PSAT_LNC020420)". The record is from RNAcentral. Lineage: Eukaryota; Viridiplantae; Streptophyta; Magnoliopsida; Fabales; Fabaceae.
UCUUACCUGCGGAUUCGCGUUGCAUGCAGGCUGCAUGUGUCUAGGGUUCGGUCUAAACGACCGUGUUUUACCUGGCGCGCGUUUUAAAUGUUCAAAUUAAUUACAAGUUUGCCAUUCGUUCCAUUAUUUCAUUUAUUUUCUCAAAUUUUUAUUUCAUUUCAUGCUACAACUUCAAAAAAUCAUAAAUAAUUCAUGGAGCAUCCAAAUUGUGUGGGAAUUUUUGCAUUCAUCUCCAUUUUUUAUCUAGUUUUUUAUAGGUAUGAUAACACAAGUUGUGCACGGUUGAUUUUUAAUUUGGUCCAAUAGUUUUGAUCAUGUAUGCUUUGUGCCUAUGUUUUACCUUUUUGC